GGAUAACAUUCUGAAAAGAAUGCUAAUACCGCAUGACAUAUCGGAACCACAUGGUUCUGAUAUCAAAGAUUUUAUCGCUUGAAGAUGGACUCGCGUCCGAUUAGUUAGUUGGUGAGGUAACGGCUCACCAAGACCGCGAUCGGUAGCCGGACUGAGAGGUUGAACGGCCACAUUGGGACUGAGACACGGCCCAGACUCCUACGGGAGGCAGCAGUGGGGGAUAUUGCGCAAUGGGGGCAACCCUGACGCAGCAACGCCGCGUGAAGGAUGAAGGUUUUCGGAUUGUAAACUUCUUUUAUUAAGGACGAAAAAUGACGGUACUUAAUGAAUAAGCUCCGGCUAACUACGUGCCAGCAGCCGCGGUAAUACGUAGGGAGCAAGCGUUGUCCGGAUUUACUGGGUGUAAAGGGUGCGUAGGCGGCUUUGCAAGUCAGAUGUGAAAUCUAUGGGCUCAACCCAUAAACUGCAUUUGAAACUGUAGAGCUUGAGUGAAGUAGAGGCAGGCGGAAUUCCCCGUGUAGCGGUGAAAUGCGUAGAGAUGGGGAGGAACACCAGUGGCGAAGGCGGCCUGCUGGGCUUUAACUGACGCUGAGGCACGAAAGCGUGGGUAGCAAACAGGAUUAGAUACCCUGGUAGUCCACGCUGUAAACGAUGAUUACUAGGUGUGGGGGGUCUGACCCCUUCCGUGCCGGAG
Molecule: ribosomal RNA, 694 nt
Filed under: uncultured bacterium
Lineage: Bacteria
Description: bacterial SSU rRNA
Rfam family: Bacterial small subunit ribosomal RNA
Source: RNAcentral